Molecule: ribosomal RNA, 472 nt
Filed under: uncultured bacterium
Lineage: Bacteria
Description: bacterial SSU rRNA
Rfam family: Bacterial small subunit ribosomal RNA
Source: RNAcentral
GAGUUUGAUCAUGGCUCAGGAUGAACGCUAGCGGCAGGCUUAACACAUGCAAGUCGAGCGAGAAACUAUCAACUGAUUCUUCGGAAGAAGGCGAGAGUGGAAAGCGGCGGACGGGUGAGUAACGCGUAGGCAACCUGCCCCUUGCAGAGGGAUAGCCACUGGAAACGGUGAUUAAAACCUCAUAAUACUCUUUAUACACAUGUAUAGAGAGCCAAAGAUUUAUCGGCAAGGGAUGGGCCUGCGUCUGAUUAGCUAGUUGGUGAGGUAACGGCUCACCAAGGCGACGAUCAGUAGCCGACCUGAGAGGGUGAUCGGCCACAUUGGAACUGAGACACGGUCCAAACUCCUACGGGAGGCAGCAGUGGGGAAUAUUGCACAAUGGGCGAAAGCCUGAUGCAGCAACGCCGCGUGAAGGAAGAAGGUCUUCGGAUCGUAAACUUCUGUCCUAGGGGAAGAAGAACUGACGGUACCC